Molecule: ribosomal RNA, 443 nt
Filed under: uncultured bacterium
Lineage: Bacteria
Description: partial 16S ribosomal RNA
Rfam family: Bacterial small subunit ribosomal RNA
Source: RNAcentral
CCUACGGUAGGCUGCAGUGGGGAUUUUUGGGCAAUGGGCGCAAGCCUGACCCAGCAACGCCGCGUGAAGGAAGAAGGCUUUCGGGUUGUAAACUUCUUUUCUCAGGGACGAAGCAAGUGACGGUACCUGAGGAAUAAGCCACGGCUAACUUCGUGCCAGCAGCCGCGGUAAUCCGUAGGUGGCAAGCGUUCUCCGGAUUUACUGGGUUUAAAGGGCGUGUAGGCGGGGACGUAAGUCAGAUGUGAAAAUCACGGGCUCAACCUGUGGCCUGCAUUUGAAACUGUGUUUCUUGAGUACUGGAGAGGCAGGCGGAAUGCCUAGUGUAGCGGUGAAAUGCGUAGAUAUUAGGAGGAACACCAGGGGCGAAGGCGGUCUGCUGGACAGCAACUGACGCUGAGGCGCGAAAGCGUGGGGAGCGAACAGGAUUAGAUACCCGAGUAGUC